Molecule: ribosomal RNA, 331 nt
Filed under: uncultured bacterium
Lineage: Bacteria
Description: bacterial SSU rRNA
Rfam family: Bacterial small subunit ribosomal RNA
Source: RNAcentral
UGCGAUGUGACAUCACAUUGCAGUUAAAGCUCCGGCGGUUAUAGAUGGGCAUGCGUGACAUUAGCUAGUUGGUGAGGCAACGGCUCACCAAGGCGACGAUGUCUAGGGGUUCUGAGAGGAUUAUCCCCCACACUGGUACUGAGACACGGACCAGACUCCUACGGGAGGCAGCAGUAAGGAAUAUUGGGCAAUGGACGCAAGUCUGACCCAGCCAUGCCGCGUGAAGGAUGAAGGCCCUAAUGGGUCGUAAACUUCUUUUAUACGGGAAAAAACCACAGGUCGUGUAUCUGUGCUGAUGGUACCGUAAGAAUAAGCAUCGGCUAACUCCGUG